UGACACAACAUUCCAAACUAACUGGAUCAGAACAAGGAUGAUCAAAGUGUAUAUUCUAGACAACAUGAAUUUUUUUUUUUAAAUGGUAUGCAAUCCUAACACAAAACACAAUCAAUAGUAAUGGGAGUAGGUGCACAGAAAAAACCUAGAAAGAGAACGCAAUGAAUUAGUAGUGUGACUUCCUGCCAGACUUCAGAAACUAACAGAAAUUAUACAAGUGAAGCAAGUCCUGCCACCAUUACAUAGUAACAGUAAAAUGAAAUGCACAAAAUUGAAGAAUUAACAAAAUCUUAGUAUUCAUUCUAAAUAUGGUUUAACCAAUCACAUGCAGAUCAGAACUUUGCACAGGCAUCAUUCUCAAUAUUGGAACAGCUGGUCAUUGAGCCAUCAAAAUCAAGCACAAUAUGCAAAACCACAUAAAAUGUCAAAUAUCAGGAGAGAGAAAUCACACAGCAUCAGAGAAUGAGCCAGAUGCUAUCUAACAGGUGGGAGAAAAUAAAUAUUAUGUCCAAUCUUUCAACACAGGUAUUAGAUGUCUGAG
This 541-nucleotide unclassified non-coding RNA is filed under the name Hevea brasiliensis (rubber tree). Lineage: Eukaryota; Viridiplantae; Streptophyta; Magnoliopsida; Malpighiales; Euphorbiaceae. The record is from RNAcentral.